AUUGAACGCUGGCGGCAUGCCUUACACAUGCAAGUCGAACGCGAAAGCGGGGGCAACCCUGUGAGUAGAGUGGCGAACGGGUGAGUAAUGCAUCGGAACGUAUCCCGUCGUGGGGGAUAACGAGUCGACAGAUUCGCUAAUACCGCAUACGACCUGAGGGUGAAAGCGGGGGACCGGCAACGGCCUCGCGCGAGGGGAGCGGCCGAUGUCCGAUUAGCCAGUUGGCUGGGUAAGAGGCCACCAAGGCGAGGAUCGGUAGCUGGUCUGGGAGGGCGGCCAGCCACACUGGAACUGAGACACGGUCCGGGCUCCUACGGGAGGCAGCAGUGGGGAAUUUUGGACAAUGGGGGCAACCCUGAUCCAGCCAUGCCGCGUGAGUGAAGAAGGCCUUCGGGUUGUAAAGCCCUUUUGGCGGGAACGAAAUCGCGUUCGUGAACAACGGGCGUGGAUGACGGUACUCGCAGAAUAAGCACCGGCUAACUACGUGCCAGCCGCCGCCGUAAAAC
This 506-nucleotide ribosomal RNA is filed under the name uncultured bacterium. Its description in RNAcentral is "bacterial SSU rRNA". It matches the Rfam family "Bacterial small subunit ribosomal RNA", at positions 29 to 526 of the family's 1533-position model. The record is from RNAcentral.